CAUACCCCUUGAGGGCUUUACCAUGAGUUACCUAUCUACUUGUGUACAAUACAGGUGGAAUUGGUCUGUGAAAAUUGAUAUUCUAAAUUAUUGUAGAUUGUAUAUUUCUGUGUUUUCUACAAUAAAACAGUGUAUUAAUUGUGCCUUUUAUUAUUAUAAAUAUAGUCUAACUGCAUAUUUUAUUUAUAUUGCAGCUUCAUGCCCAUGAGUUCAAUACAAAUGUAGCCUUGUAUGAACUCUAUAGGUAUGCUGUUAAGUAUAAUGACCAGUUGAUACAAACUUUAGAAGAAGAUGAAUUUUCACGGAAGAACAAAUUGGCAUGGAAGCUUGAACAAGUGCAUGCAAUAAUGAGUGGAGAGUCAGAAGCAUGACAGUAUUAUUGGCAAUCUGUGGAUGUGUGACAUUAUUAAAAUCCCAGUGUGCUUUGUCAAACCUUCACCGAUUGCCGCGGCUCGGUUUAAAGGACUUGCUGCCACAUUUUGGGAUCCUCCGUUCUAUGCAAUUAGGAUGCCCCCUGAGGAGCAACUGGGUGUAAACUGAAAUCAGUUCCACCCUUUGCCCCCAGUUCCUAGACAGCAACGAAAAUUCACUACGAACGAAUGAAUCUUUUAGAAACUUAAAAAAAAAAAAAAAAAAAAAAAAACUGUGUGCAGGUCAGCAAAAACUGAAAUUGUCAUCAAAAGCCUGUUUUUGGAUGCAAUGUGGAAAUAAGUAGAAUCAAAUUAUUGUUGUAAACUGCAGGCACCUAGUGAGCUAAUCCUGAGUUCACUAUGAUAUAUGUGGUGCCAAACCAUGGCAAGAAUUUUUAUUUGUUUUUAAUAAUUUGUCCUUUAUGGAUGCACCUAGUCUUUUAAUAUUGUUCAUCCCCCUCUCUGCAUCCCCUGCUAAAAUAAUUUUCAUUGUAUCAUGAUCAAAUGUUCACCUACUGCAUGUGCAACUUCCAGUGCCUUUGUAAUGCAUGCUUCUGAGUUCUUUUGAAAAUUUAGAAGCCAUUCCAGUUUACCCUUAGUAGCCUUGACCUUGAGUCUUCCACUUUGUGUUCCUUGUAUAAGAACAAAGACUUGUUUAUUUAUCUCAUUCUUUAAGGGGCCUUUUUGAAUUGGUAUGAGGUUUGAAAAGGAAUGUUGAUCUCCAAAACUCAAAACCAAUGAAAAUGAAGCAAGGCAAUAUGUAGAAACUUUAUCUAUCCAAUGUAUUAUAUAUACAUAUAUAUGUAUGUAUAUGUAUAUAUAUAUAUAUGUAUAUAUAUAUACAUAUAUAUAUAUAUAUAUGAUGUAUGUAUUUAUAUACACAUCAACACAUCUGUGCACUGCUACAAGUGGUUACUGUUGCAUUUUAAGGCACGGAAUAGAAACAAUUUGCAGUGCUCAUACAAAGUAGCCGAUAGAGUGUAGUUCAUUUACCAAAAUCUAGUUCCCAGUUUUAAAGACUUGCACUGUGAUAGACUUUUAUUUUUCUCUCAUCCCACUAAUACCCAUUCCAUUUGUUUCAUACACUUCCAUGUAAUUUUGUUCCACAGAUUUUGUGCAAAUAAAUAAAUAUAACAUGAAGGGAAGAAAGAAAUGUUCCUUCAAUUUCACCAUUUGCAAGUUAUACAAGGUACAAGGUGAACUGUCGUCCAAACAGACAACUUAUUUCAUCCAAAAUGAAGAAGGUUGUUAUCUAAUGUGACCUUUUGAAGUAUAUGCCCCCAGUUGUUUGAAUUUGAUGUAUAUGCACAGAAUAAGCUCAGAGAAAAGAUCCAUGGCAAAUUUAUCACCAAGCUGCUUUAUGCAUUCAAACUUCCGGGAAGAACACCCAAUGACAUGCUAAAGCAGCUGCACCAGAAGUCACCAGUUAUUUGUGUGCUACGAGGAUGAAUGUUAAGCAAAAGACACUUUUUUUGGUACAACCUUAAACUUUGUAAUAUAUUUAUAGCAUAUUUUUAUUAUGAUGUUGAUUUAGAGCCUCUACCUUGCUCAAAUAAUUUCCUGCAUUAAAUUGGCACCCAAAGUAAUAAGAGGUGUUGCAAUUUAAUAUGUUACUCCUCCCACAUGUAAAAAUGUUUCAGUUUAGAUAAUUGGUCCCAGUUUUCAGCACAAAUUGUUUCAUAAUGCAGGUACCAAAAUGACCAAAUCACAAAUGUUUCUCAAAAAUUUCUACAUGUAUUCAAAUUUUUAAUAAAAUGUAAUAAAAAUGAUAUUGUGAUAUUUGA
Molecule: long non-coding RNA, 2194 nt
Filed under: Stegodyphus dumicola
Lineage: Eukaryota; Metazoa; Arthropoda; Arachnida; Araneae; Eresidae
Description: uncharacterized LOC118195106
Source: RNAcentral